AUUGAACGCUGGCGGCAUGCCUUACACAUGCAAGUCGAACGGCAGCACGGGUGCUUGCACCUGGUGGCGAGUGGCGAACGGGUGAGUAAUACAUCGGAACGUACCUUAUCGUGGGGGAUAACGCAGCGAAAGCUGUGCUAAUACCGCAUACGCCCUGAGGGGGAAAGCGGGGGAUCGAAAGACCUCGCGCGAUUCGAGCGGCCGAUGCCUGAUUAGCUUGUUGGUGGGGUAAAAGCCCACCAAGGCGACGAUCAGUAGCUGGUCUGAGAGGACGAUCAGCCACACUGGGACUGAGACACGGCCCAGACUCCUACGGGAGGCAGCAGUGGGGAAUUUUGGACAAUGGGGGCAACCCUGAUCCAGCAAUGCCGCGUGAGUGAAGAAGGCCUUCGGGUUGUAAAGCUCUUUUGUCAGGGAAAAAACACCGGCUCUAACACAGUCCGGGAGUGACGGUACCUGAAGAAUAAGCACCGGCUAACUACGUGCCAGCCGCCGCAGUAA
Molecule: ribosomal RNA, 501 nt
Filed under: uncultured bacterium
Lineage: Bacteria
Description: partial 16S ribosomal RNA
Rfam family: Bacterial small subunit ribosomal RNA
Source: RNAcentral